GAGUAUUUAAUAUUGCUUCAGCAGAGGAACCGGAUAUUAAAGCAUUUGAAAAGCAAGGACCCCGUGCAAUUGAGGCUGGAGCACUUGGAGCAAGGUUUCUCUGUCUAUGUCAACGGUGCCAAUUCGGAGCUGAAAUCAUCACCGCGGAAAGCUAUUCACUCUGACUUCUCCAGAAGUGCCUCCCACACGGAGGGGACACACGAUUAUGGACGAAGAACUCUGUUUCGAGAAGCUGAAGAAGCCUUAAGACGCAGUUCACGGACAGCCCCCAGUAAAGUCCAGCGCCGAGGAUGGCACCAGAACCUUGUAUGCAGUCGGCGCUCAGUAAAAG
Molecule: long non-coding RNA, 331 nt
Filed under: Homo sapiens (human)
Lineage: Eukaryota; Metazoa; Chordata; Mammalia; Primates; Hominidae
Description: HSALNT0229272
Source: RNAcentral